GGGGCUGAUUCUGGAUUCGACGGGAUUUGCGAAACCCAAGGUGCAUGCCGAGGGGCGGUUGGCCUCGUAAAAAGCCGCAAAAAAUAGUCGCAAACGACGAAAACUACGCUUUAGCAGCUUAAUAACCUGCUUAGAGCCCUCUCUCCCUAGCCUCCGCUCUUAGGACGGGGAUCAAGAGAGGUCAAACCCAAAAGAGAUCGCGUGGAAGCCCUGCCUGGGGUUGAAGCGUUAAAACUUAAUCAGGCUAGUUUGUUAGUGGCGUGUCCGUCCGCAGCUGGCAAGCGAAUGUAAAGACUGACUAAGCAUGUAGUACCGAGGAUGCAGGAAUUUCGGACGCGGGUUCAACUCCCGCCAGCUCCACCA
RNAcentral lists this transfer-messenger RNA (363 nucleotides) under Escherichia coli. It matches the Rfam family "transfer-messenger RNA". Rfam says of the family: Bacterial tmRNA, also known as 10Sa RNA or SsrA, is named for its dual tRNA and mRNA-like properties. Lineage: Bacteria; Pseudomonadati; Pseudomonadota; Gammaproteobacteria; Enterobacterales; Enterobacteriaceae. The record is from RNAcentral.